UGUUCUGUGACUGAAUUGGUUGAAGCGCCGGUCUAGCCAAUCGGAAUCGUGGGUUCGAAUCUCAUCAGAAAAC
Non-coding RNA from Aedes albopictus (Asian tiger mosquito), 73 nucleotides. The record is from Rfam. Lineage: Eukaryota; Metazoa; Arthropoda; Insecta; Diptera; Culicidae.